UGGACGCCAGUCUGCAUGGAGCCGACCUUGAAAUACCACCCUUUAAUGUUUGAUGUUCUAACGUGGACCCGUAAUCCGGGUUGCGGACAGUGUCUGGUGGGUAGUUUGACUGGGGCGGUCUCCUCCUAAAGAGUAACGGAGGAGCACGAAGGUUGGCUAAUCCUGGUCGGACAUCAGGAGGUUAGUGCAAUGGCAUAAGCCAGCUUGACUGCGAGCGUGACGGCGCGAGCAGGUGCGAAAGCAGGUCAUAGUGAUCCGGUGGUUCUGAAUGGAAGGGCCAUCGCUCAACGGAUAAAAGGUACUCCGGGGAUAACAGGCUGAUACCGCCCAAGAGUUCAUAUCGACGGCGGUGUUUGGCACCUCGAUGUCGGCUCAUCACAUCCUGGGGCUGAAGUAGGUCCCAAGGGUAUGGCUGUUCGCCAUUUAAAGUGGUACGCGAGCUGGGUUUAGAACGUCGUGAGACAGUUCGGUCCCUAUCUGCCGUGGGCGCUGGAGAACUGAGGGGGGCUGCUCCUAGUACGAGAGGACCGGAGUGGACGCAUCACUGGUGUUCGGGUUGUCAUGCCAAUGGCACUGCCCGGUAGCUAAAUGCGGAAGAGAUAAGUGCUGAAAGCAUCUAAGCACGAAACUUGCCCCGAGAUGAGUUCUCCCUGAGACUUAGAGUCUCCUGAAGGAACGUUGAAGACGACGACGUUGAUAGGCCGGGUGUGUAAGCGCAGCGAUGCGUUGAGCUAACCGGUACUAAUGAACCGUGAGGCUUAACCUU
This 766-nucleotide ribosomal RNA is filed under the name Salmonella enterica. RNAcentral describes it as "partial 23S ribosomal RNA". It matches the Rfam family "Bacterial large subunit ribosomal RNA", at positions 2165 to 2925 of the family's 2925-position model. Lineage: Bacteria; Pseudomonadati; Pseudomonadota; Gammaproteobacteria; Enterobacterales; Enterobacteriaceae. The record is from RNAcentral.